AGAGCGAACGCUGGCGGCAGGCCUAAUACAUGCAAGUCGAACGGAUCCUUCGGGAUUAGUGGCGGACGGGUGAGUAACACGUGGGAACGUGCCCUUUGGUUCAGAACAACUCAGGGAAACUUGAGCUAAUACUGGAUAAGCCCUUCGGGGGAAAGAUUUAUCGCCAUUGGAGCGGCCCGCGUCUGAUUAGCUAGUUGGUAGGGUAAAGGCCUACCAAGGCUACGAUCAGUAGCUGGUCUGAGAGGAUGAUCAGCCACACUGGGACUGAGACACGGCCCAGACUCCUACGGGAGGCAGCAGUAGGGAAUCUUGCGCAAUGGGCGAAAGCCUGACGCAGCCAUGCCGCGUGAAUGAUGAAGGUCUUAGGAUUGUAAAAUUCUUUCAGCGGGACGAUAAUGACGGUACCGCAGAAGAAGCCCGGCUAACUUCGUGCCAGCAGCCGC
This 443-nucleotide ribosomal RNA is filed under the name uncultured bacterium. Its description in RNAcentral is "SSU rRNA". It matches the Rfam family "Bacterial small subunit ribosomal RNA", at positions 26 to 518 of the family's 1533-position model. The record is from RNAcentral.